Molecule: ribosomal RNA, 1355 nt
Filed under: Microbacterium sp. C2-15
Lineage: Bacteria; Bacillati; Actinomycetota; Actinomycetes; Micrococcales; Microbacteriaceae
Description: bacterial SSU rRNA
Rfam family: Bacterial small subunit ribosomal RNA
Source: RNAcentral
GAGCUUGCUCUUGUGGAUCAGUGGCGAACGGGUGAGUAACACGUGAGCAACCUGCCCCUGACUCUGGGAUAAGCGCUGGAAACGGCGUCUAAUACUGGAUAUGUGACGUGACCGCAUGGUCUGCGUUUGGAAAGAUUUUUCGGUUGGGGAUGGGCUCGCGGCCUAUCAGCUUGUUGGUGAGGUAAUGGCUCACCAAGGCGUCGACGGGUAGCCGGCCUGAGAGGGUGACCGGCCACACUGGGACUGAGACACGGCCCAGACUCCUACGGGAGGCAGCAGUGGGGAAUAUUGCACAAUGGGCGAAAGCCUGAUGCAGCAACGCCGCGUGAGGGAUGACGGCCUUCGGGUUGUAAACCUCUUUUAGCAGGGAAGAAGCGAAAGUGACGGUACCUGCAGAAAAAGCGCCGGCUAACUACGUGCCAGCAGCCGCGGUAAUACGUAGGGCGCAAGCGUUAUCCGGAAUUAUUGGGCGUAAAGAGCUCGUAGGCGGUUUGUCGCGUCUGCUGUGAAAUCCCGAGGCUCAACCUCGGGCCUGCAGUGGGUACGGGCAGACUAGAGUGCGGUAGGGGAGAUUGGAAUUCCUGGUGUAGCGGUGGAAUGCGCAGAUAUCAGGAGGAACACCGAUGGCGAAGGCAGAUCUCUGGGCCGUAACUGACGCUGAGGAGCGAAAGGGUGGGGAGCAAACAGGCUUAGAUACCCUGGUAGUCCACCCCGUAAACGUUGGGAACUAGUUGUGGGGUCCAUUCCACGGAUUCCGUGACGCAGCUAACGCAUUAAGUUCCCCGCCUGGGGAGUACGGCCGCAAGGCUAAAACUCAAAGGAAUUGACGGGGACCCGCACAAGCGGCGGAGCAUGCGGAUUAAUUCGAUGCAACGCGAAGAACCUUACCAAGGCUUGACAUAUACGAGAACGGGCCAGAAAUGGUCAACUCUUUGGACACUCGUAAACAGGUGGUGCAUGGUUGUCGUCAGCUCGUGUCGUGAGAUGUUGGGUUAAGUCCCGCAACGAGCGCAACCCUCGUUCUAUGUUGCCAGCACGUAAUGGUGGGAACUCAUGGGAUACUGCCGGGGUCAACUCGGAGGAAGGUGGGGAUGACGUCAAAUCAUCAUGCCCCUUAUGUCUUGGGCUUCACGCAUGCUACAAUGGCCGGUACAAAGGGCUGCAAUACCGUGAGGUGGAGCGAAUCCCAAAAAGCCGGUCCCAGUUCGGAUUGAGGUCUGCAACUCGACCUCAUGAAGUCGGAGUCGCUAGUAAUCGCAGAUCAGCAACGCUGCGGUGAAUACGUUCCCGGGUCUUGUACACACCGCCCGUCAAGUCAUGAAAGUCGGUAACACCUGAAGCCGGUGGCCUAACCC